UCCCUGGUGGUCCAGUGGCUAAGACUCCGUGCUCCUAAUGCUGAGGACCAGGGUUCGGUUCCUGGUCAGGGAA
Ovis aries (sheep) is the source of this 73-nucleotide transfer RNA. It matches the Rfam family "tRNA". Rfam says of the family: Transfer RNA (tRNA) molecules are approximately 80 nucleotides in length. Their secondary structure includes four short double-helical elements and three loops (D, anti-codon, and T loops). Further hydrogen bonds mediate the characteristic L-shaped molecular structure. tRNAs have two regions of fundamental functional importance: the anti-codon, which is responsible for specific mRNA codon recognition, and the 3' end, to which the tRNAs corresponding amino acid is attached (by aminoacyl-tRNA synthetases). tRNAs cope with the degeneracy of the genetic code in two manners: having more than one tRNA (with a specific anti-codon) for a particular amino acid; and 'wobble' base-pairing, i.e. permitting non-standard base-pairing at the 3rd anti-codon position. NCBI's taxonomy places the organism in Eukaryota, Metazoa, Chordata, Mammalia, Artiodactyla, Bovidae. The record is from Rfam.